GGGUGAGUAACACGUGGGCAAUCUGCCCUGCACUCUGGGACAAGCCCUGGAAACGGGGUCUAAUACCGGAUGACACCCCCUCUCGCAUGGGAGGGGGUUGAAAGCUCCGGCGGUGCAGGAUGAGCCCGCGGCCUAUCAGCUUGUUGGUGAGGUAGAAGCUCACCAAGGCGACGACGGGUAGCCGGCCUGAGAGGGCGACCGGCCACACUGGGACUGAGACACGGCCCAGACUCCUACGGGAGGCAGCAGUGGGGAAUAUUGCACAAUGGGCGAAAGCCUGAUGCAGCGACGCCGCGUGAGGGAUGACGGCCUUCGGGUUGUAAACCUCUUUCAGCAGGGAAGAAGCGAAAGUGACGGUACCUGCAGAAGAAGCGCCGGCUAACUACGUGCCAGCAGCCGCGGUAAUACGUAGGGCGCAAGCGUUGUCCGGAAUUAUUGGGCGUAAAGAGCUCGUAGGCGGCUUGUCACGUCGGUUGUGAAAGCCCGGGGCUUAACCCCGGGUCUGCAGUCGAUACGGGCAGGCUAGAGUGUGGUAGGGGAGAUCGGAAUUCCUGGUGUAGCGGUGAAAUGCGCAGAUAUCANGAGGAACACCGGUGGCGAANGCGGAUCUCUGGGCCAUUACUGACGCUGAGGAGCGAAAGCGUGGGGAGCGAACAGGAUUAGAUACCCUGGUAGUCCACGCCGUAAACGGUGGGAACUA
This 700-nucleotide ribosomal RNA is filed under the name Streptomyces sp. MIDF06. RNAcentral describes it as "bacterial SSU rRNA". It matches the Rfam family "Bacterial small subunit ribosomal RNA", at positions 104 to 818 of the family's 1533-position model. The record is from RNAcentral. Lineage: Bacteria; Bacillati; Actinomycetota; Actinomycetes; Kitasatosporales; Streptomycetaceae.